Molecule: long non-coding RNA, 154 nt
Organism: Oxyura jamaicensis (ruddy duck)
Lineage: Eukaryota; Metazoa; Chordata; Aves; Anseriformes; Anatidae
Exons: 3
Source: RefSeq, a predicted model, not a curated record
UGGAGUUAUAAACAAACAAAGCCAAACAAAGACCCCGCGCAGAGCUGCGAAACGCUGCGAGCUGGCGAGGGGCCAGCACGGCACGGCCCCAAACGUCACCGAGUUGCUCAACAAGCGGGUGGUUUGCAGGCAGAUGUGUCCCUGGGAGGGAGGA